GAUGAAGAACGCAGCGAAAUGCGAUACGUAAUGUGAAUUGCAAAUUCAGUGAAUCAUCGAGUCUUUGAACGCACAUUGCGCCCCCUGGUAUUCCGGGGGGCAUGCCUGUCCGAGCGUCAUUGCUGCCCUCAAGCACGGCUUGUGUGUUGGGCCCCGUCCUCCGAUCGCGGGGGACGGGCCCGAAAGGCAGCGGCGGCACCGCGUCCGGUCCUCGAGCGUAUGGGGCUUUGUCACCCGCUCUGUAGGCCCGGCCGGCGCUUGCCGAUCAACCCAAAUUUUUAUCCAGGUUGACCUCGGAUCAGGUAGGGAUACCCGCUGAACUUAAGCAUAUCAAUAAGCGGAGGA
Molecule: unclassified non-coding RNA, 345 nt
Filed under: soil metagenome
Description: partial contains 5.8S ribosomal RNA, internal transcribed spacer 2, and large subunit ribosomal RNA
Rfam family: 5.8S ribosomal RNA (bases 1-119)
Source: RNAcentral